CCCACCUUAUCUGUUCGGGCACCAACUCCCCUAUCUCCUGUGCACCUCCGUCCACUCCCCACGAGGCCACGACCACCAUCUUCUACCCCGCCGCCGCAUAACCUCCACCUCCCACCCCGGCACCACACGACCUCCUUCCCCACGCCGCCUCGCCUCCUCCUCCUCCCGGCUGGCGCCGCCCCGCCUCCUCCUCCUCCCGGCUAGCGCCGCCCCGCCUCCUCCUCCUCAUGACCGGUGCCUACCCGCCUCCUACUCCUCCCGUCCGGCGGCGCCCUGCCUCCUCCUCCUCCCAUCCGGAGCCGCCCUGCCUCCUGCUUCUCCCGUCCGGCAGUGCCCUGCCUCCUCCUCCUCCCGUCCGGAGCCGCCCCGUCUCCUACUCCACCCCUCUGGCGCCGCCCCGCAUCUCCCCCGCGCGCCUCUGACGUGCAACGCCGCGCAGCAACGGCCCCGGCCCCUCCCCGCUCCAGCCACGGCCACUGCCCCGCCAUCCGUGGUGCUCCGACGCCGCCCCACCUCAUCCAGCUCAGUCGCUACCCCUGUGCAGCUCGGUCGCGGCCCGCGUCUUCGUGCAGGUUUGUGGGCCACCACUUUCCUCUGCUGGCCUCCCUCAUCGUCAGACACAACGCCGCAACCUCCAACCUCGAGCGUCCUCUCCUCCCCAUUGAUUGGUUUUUUGCUUUUUCAGAAUUCACUUGGGCACAUUGAUGUAGUUCUGUUUGGGCACCAGUGCAGUGUGGAUGGAUGUCUAGUCACUCGGCGAAAGUUCUUGCAGCCGGUGGCACGAGGCUCGUGGUCCGAUGUGUAGUGCAGUGCAGUGUUAUUUGCCCUCCGCACUGAAGUUCGCCGGCAGAUGUGUUGACCCCCGCGGCGCCAUGCAAUCUAGUACGUGGGUGCACGCAGCACGCCCUACCGGCACCGUGCAGUCCAAAAGUGUCGGUGCAAGCAGCACGCCACCCAUUCCCAAGCCAAUCUCUCUUCCUCCCCACACACGUGCCAAACGCUCUCUCACACAACAAUGGCGGAUGAGAAGCUCGCCAAGCUGCGCGAGGUCUCAGUGUGGCAGGGCGACAGAUGCAGUGCGGCAGGGCGACGGAUGCAGUGCGGCAAGGCGACGGGUGUAGUGUGGCACUCACGGCAGCAGCGAACCCACUGAACCUAUCGAGUGGAUGAGAACGAUGAAUCGCUGCAGAAAAUGGAAGGUCCCAUCCAUCAGUUCUUGCAUCUUUGUGAUGUUUUUCUAGUGAUCUAGUCUAUGUAAUACUAGCAUCUGAAGAACUUUUGAAGCAGAAGGAACAACCUCUGAAAAUGCAAGUUCGGAGCUCUGAAUAUGUGUAGCAGUACAACAACCCUCCUUGGAUGUCCGGGCUCAGCAUGAAGCAGGUUAACAUGUAAACACGCAUGGUGUAGUCUUGUGCGACAACGCGUUCAAUUAAACAGCAAAAAACGACAUGCAGUUGGCCGGCCCAUGCAGUUUGGUGUGCGAGCAAAAACAUCAGCGUGGAGUUUAGUGUUUAAUGCCAUGGAGAUGGGGAAACAACAACAAAAAUGUGAACUCCGCCUCCGCGAUGCCUCGGCUCACACUGCCACUGGACCUAUUUUUACCAUCAGACUCACCGGGCCAUCGCCGACUCCCCAAGCAGUACACUUCCGUACUGUCAGCACCGGCUAGAGCAACGCUCCGAUUUUUUUCAUUCACUUUUUUUUACAUACUGAAGGACAUCUGUGUUAAUUGCAAAAGUUGCCCACUUUGGCAGAACAGCUGGAAAAAAGAAAACUACAAUGCAGUGCACUUCGAGGGA
This is a long non-coding RNA of Triticum aestivum (bread wheat), 1799 nucleotides long. RefSeq lists it as uncharacterized. The record is from RefSeq and is a predicted model, not a curated record. NCBI's taxonomy places the organism in Eukaryota, Viridiplantae, Streptophyta, Magnoliopsida, Poales, Poaceae. The transcript has 3 exons.